GAGUGCAGUCGUGAAGGAUACCUACGCUUGUAACAGGAGCUGUGCCACAGUGUUAUGGUGACCAACUGAAAACUCUCUCAGAAUAGGAAACAACACUGCACGCAGGGGCCUGUUAGCUGAUUGGUCUGUGAGGUCCCCUGUUGCUCAUUGUUUUACAAACAACAAUGGGAAUUGGAUUAUGUAUUGCAUUGAACUGCUGCUGCUAAGUUAACAAAUUUCAACGACAAUGCCGGUGAUAAUAAGCCUGAUCCUGAUUCUGAAAGCUACUUGCUUGAAGACUGGACUGGAAAAAGAUAGGAGAAAGAAGAGAUGGGAGUUCCUUUAUGAAUGGGUAACCCAAGGGAAUUUUGGCUUUAUGUUGAAGGAUGGUGAAUUGACCAACUCAAACACACCAUUAAGGUGAGGCAAAUGAUCUCUAUCUCAAAACUAGGCACACACCCAUCUGUUUAAUCUUCAAACUGUUCAUAAAUUGGCACCAACUUCUCAAGCUCACUUGACAGUCCACUGACUCUCUGGGAAUUUCUGACUCAGUAAUGACUAACGUUUUUGUGACUGCAGCCAAGCUACCAUCAUAAAAACAAAAGCCGCAAAAUAAGGAUGCACAGAGAUGAAUACAGCUUUGUAAAUGCACUCACAGAAAAACCACAGGUUCAAAUUCUGGUGAGAAGGUAGAAGACUCUUCCAGUGGGUUUUUGUUGAGUAUAUUUUUUUCACAAUCUGACUGCAUGAAAACUCCACAAACAAGGAGCCUGAAACAAUCUUGACAUAAAGAUUAAGUAUUCGGAAAUGCCUUGAUCCUGACUAUGAUAUCCAGCAUGAUGCUGCUUUAUUAAGGAUAAAUCCAUCUGACGUGACAUCUAAUUUAUUUUUUUAAAUUGAAGUCUCCUGAUAAAUAACUGAAUAAAUCAGUUUAUUGCAUUGUAUCAGGCAGCAGACACCGCUGCUCAGACGUGCUGGAAGAACGAACCAGUCUCAACAUUUACUGCCCGGCUACUAUCGCAGUCUGCACCUCAGCUCCUGAAGAACAUUCCAUUCCCUUUAUCUCUCCAUAGAACGUGGAAUAUUUUAUAAUACUUGCAAUUUUUUGACAUAUUAUCAAGUUGUAACAUCUCCAGCAUGAAUUAUUGUUUGUGCUGUAGUUACGUAGGGAAAGCUUUCAACACAAUAAAGAAAUUGUUUUCUCCGAGCAAUAAAAUUAUGAAUAAGUGUAUGUCUUUGAAAUUAUGUAUCUGCUUGCAUGUGUCUGUAAGUUAACGUGCUUCUGUGUGUCUGUUCGCCUAUCUAUAAGAUAGUGUCUUGUGUUCCUGUUGGAUCGCACGUGAAGUUUUAUGUGUUUGCUUGUUUGUAUUUUAGUGUAUCUGUUGAAUUGAGUC
Hypanus sabinus (Atlantic stingray) is the source of this 1373-nucleotide long non-coding RNA. RefSeq lists it as uncharacterized. The transcript has 4 exons. Lineage: Eukaryota; Metazoa; Chordata; Chondrichthyes; Myliobatiformes; Dasyatidae. The record is from RefSeq and is a predicted model, not a curated record.